AAGUUGUUGCGGUUAAAAGCUCGUAGUUCGAGCUCAGUUCCGGACUGGCCGGGGAGGUCACCGCCCGGUGCUUCCCCGUCAGGCUCCGAACAGCCUUCGUGAGCGGAGGCCAAGCCGGUUCUGCCGGGGUGCUCUUUACCGAGUGUCCCGCGCGGCCGGCCAGUUCACCUUGAAUAAAUGAGAGUGCUCAAAGCAGGCUACUCUCGAAUACAAUGCCCGAAUGUUACCUGCAUGGAAUGAUGGAAGAUGAUCUCGGUUCCAUUUUAUUGGUGGUGGGAGCCCGAGGUAAUGAUAAACAGGGACUGUCGGGGGCAUCCGUACUACGACGCGAGAGGUGAAAUUCAGUGACCGUCGUAGGACGAACAACAGCGAAAGCAUUUGCCAAGAAUGUCUUCGUUGAUCAAGAACGAAAGUUAGAGGAUCGAAGGCGAUCAGAUACCGCCCUAGUUCUAACCCUAAACGAUGCUGACUAGCAAUUCGCCGUCGUUAUUCCCAUGACGUGGCGAGACGCCCCCGGGAAACCUCAAGUCUUUGAGUUCCGGGGGUAGUAUGGUUGCAAAACUGAAACUUAAAGGAAUUGACGGAAGGGCACCACCAGGAGUGGAGCCUGCGGCUUAAUUUGACUCAACACGGGAAACCUCACCAGGCCCGGACACCAGAAGGAUUGACAGAUUAAGAGCUCUUUCUCGAUUUGGUGGGUGGUGGUGCAUGGCCGUUCUUAGUUGGUGGAGUGAUUUGUCUGGUUAAUUCCGGUAACGAACGAGACUCUGGCCUACUAAAUAGUCGACGGGCGUUUUGGUGCAUGGGCCCCGUUCGACACAGUCUUCUUAGAGGGAUGAGCAGCGAGUAUAGCUGCAGGAGAUUGAGCAAUAACAGGUCUGUGAUGCCCUUAGAUGUCCUGGGCCGCACGCGCGCUACACUGAAUGGGUUAGCGGGUUGUCCUUCUCCGAGAGGAGCGGGAAAUCGCUUGAAAACCAUUCGUGAUAGGGAUUGGGGCUUGCAAUUGUUUCCCAUGAACGAGGAAUUCCCAGUAAGCGCAAGUCAUCAGCUUGCGUUGAUUAAGUCCCUGCCCUUUGUACACACCGCCCGUCGCUACUACCGAUUGAAUGAUUUAGUGAGGCCUUCGGACUGGCGGUCUUGGACUGGGGCGCCGGCGUUCUCCAGCAAUGGGGUGCCGGUGACCCGCCUAGACGGGCCGGAAAGAUGUCCAAACUUGAUCAUUUAGAGGAAGUAAAAGUCGUAACAAGGUUUCC
This 1253-nucleotide ribosomal RNA is filed under the name Periclimenella spinifera. RNAcentral describes it as "SSU rRNA". It matches the Rfam family "Eukaryotic small subunit ribosomal RNA", at positions 607 to 1804 of the family's 1831-position model. Lineage: Eukaryota; Metazoa; Arthropoda; Malacostraca; Decapoda; Palaemonidae. The record is from RNAcentral.